UCCUCAGAGUGGGUGCUGCCUGGUGAG
Molecule: non-coding RNA, 27 nt
Filed under: Rattus norvegicus (Norway rat)
Lineage: Eukaryota; Metazoa; Chordata; Mammalia; Rodentia; Muridae
Source: RNAcentral